GGAGUCUAACAUGUGCGCAAGUCAUUGGGUUCUACGAAACCUAAAGGCGAAAUGAAAGUGAAAGCUAUCUCUGGUAGCCUAGGAGUGAUCCAAGCAAUUGGCGCAACUCCGUCCGGUCAAAAUUGCUUAGCAAUAUGGCUGCGAAAGAGCGUACAUGUUGGGACCCGAAAGAUGGUGAACUAUGCCUGAGCAGGAUGAAGCCAGAGGAAACUCUGGUGGAGGUCCGUAGCGGUUCUGACGUGCAAAUCGAUCGUCAAACUUGGGUAUAGGGGCGAAAGACUAAUCGAACCAUCUAGUUGCUGGUUCCCUCCGAAGUUUCCCUCAGGAUAGCUGGCACUCAUUAGCAGUUUUAUCCGGUAAAGCGAAUGAUUAGAGGACUUGGGACGAAACGACCUCAACCUAUUCUCAAACUUAAAUAGGGUAAGAUGUCUGUACCCGCUUAAUUGGGUCGGGCCGACGAAUGCGAGUGCCCAGUGGCACUUUGGUAAGCAGAACUGGCGCUGUGGGAUGAACC
RNAcentral lists this ribosomal RNA (514 nucleotides) under uncultured eukaryote. RNAcentral's name for it is "eukaryotic LSU rRNA". It matches the Rfam family "Eukaryotic large subunit ribosomal RNA", at positions 670 to 1169 of the family's 3401-position model. The record is from RNAcentral.